Long non-coding RNA from Varroa destructor (honeybee mite), 1177 nucleotides. The record is from RefSeq and is a predicted model, not a curated record. Lineage: Eukaryota; Metazoa; Arthropoda; Arachnida; Mesostigmata; Varroidae.
ACUUCCUUGCAUUUGUACCGAAGGUUACAUGAACUUUUCAUCUAAAUAGGCGUACGGCCCAGGCUUCGAAAUGGUUAAGGAGAUAAGCCGCUUCGUACCACAAAAGUCCCUAACAUGGACCAUCGACUCGAGCCUAAUAUUGAGCAAAUUACGCGUGACGUCGAUCAAAAUCCAUAGCUACAAACUACCAAAUCAUUGAGAUUUGCUGCUAUACCUGCCAGACCCCCCGACGAUCCAAUCUAUGAUCUGUCGGAAGAUCUCUAGCACGACGUUUGCGCCAGACGGAACUUAUUGCCUUUGCAAGACUUUUGAGCGUGUGAAGAGGAAGUCUUCCGAAGUUUCACCGGUCUCAAUUUAAAAUGGAAGCUCGGGACGACAAUGACCACCGAAGAGUAAAAAGCAAAAGCAACGCAGGAAUGGCACUCUAGACCGAGAUAGUCCAUGCAACGCUUACGUUUGCCUGGCCUGAAGGAUUGGCUGUUCUUCCCUACAAUUAGGUGAGGUAAGCAGUAGAACUAGCGAUGGGACAAAGGAGACGACCUAGGUGAACCUAACUACCUCAGUGGUUCGUGACUAACACAAGAUGCAGAUGAAGGCAGGGGUAACACGCACUUCCGGGCGAUCCUUGGUGACCAGCCUAACCACCACGGCUAUUCAUUACUGUUGCAAAUCCACCAUUCGCUCUUCACUGACUCGUUGGGUCCUCACGCUGUUAACCAGGUCGUAUCCGAUAGAAUGCACUUGUAAUGGUGCUUCCUCGCCGAUAUCAACCCCCCUUUGUGGAAGGGGGAACGUCGACAAGGCAGCGUCAACCGCCAACAAGUAGCCAGCAGCGACAGGAUUGAAGCGAGGAAGUAAUUUGGAAUGCCCCUGUUCGCGAAUCGGCGAGUCUGUGAACGGCCGAAAAGGUCCACUGAAACUGAGCCCUGACCGCAGAUCGUAGCCACUAAACGAAACGGAAAUUCAGCAGCAUUUGCGGGUAGUCGAAGAGCUGCUGCUAACAACAAGAGGUACGACGAUGGAGAAUAGUGGAGGUAGACGAUGGACUAAUGGCAAAUAGCGGUAAUACCAGAGUUGUGAUGUGCAAACAUAAAUUAGGACUUCCGUUGAGCAUCGAUAAAAGGACGUGAAAGUCGAGAGUUUUCAUAAGUAUCCAGUAGUCGAAGCAAUACGUAUA